This 1476-nucleotide long non-coding RNA is filed under the name Bos grunniens (domestic yak). RNAcentral's name for it is "lncRNA (ENSBGRG00000011810.1)". The record is from RNAcentral. Lineage: Eukaryota; Metazoa; Chordata; Mammalia; Artiodactyla; Bovidae.
AGUGAUAUGUGGGGAGCUAGGGAAACUUGGAGACAUGAAUACACAGUUGUUGGAAGUGGUCAUCAAAGAGACCCACAGUAGUGAUCCACAGCAAAAGGUGAUAAAAGCUCAGCAACAAACAGUCUGGGGAAACACAUGAGGACACCUCAGGGAUUCUCAGAACUACAGCUGGAGGAAACUGGAUUUCCUGCACUCCAUCGCAGCACGAGGGGCCCAGACUUUAUUACUGGGUGUUUAGAGGAAUGUGACCUCCUAAAAUGUGAUAACUUGGGGAUGUUUGGGAUAUAAAGACAUUAACAUUCCCCCCUCCACUCCAUAAUCUCCCAAGGACGUUUGGAUGGACUGUCCUGAGUUGUUUUGGACUAUGAGACAGAAAAAAUAAUCCGUAAGGUCUGGUUCACCUCUUUGAUCUCAAAACCUUGAGAGAGACCUAUGUUAUACGACCAAACCCUGACUAGUAAUUGCCUCUGUUGGGUUUGACGUCAGUUGAUGACUGGACUUUGAACCUGAGACAGAGUUUAAAAGAAAGGUAGCUGGAGGCAAAUCAUUUCCUUCCUGGAUUACCUAGCGAGAACAUCCAAAAUGAAAGCCUUCGCUCACCUCGCUCUUCUUGCCCUCCUUUUUCCAGCCUUAGCCAUGAGCCAAGACAAUACAACCUCAAGUGUCUCUUUAACCACAAAUAUUACAGCUACUACCAUCACAAUUAUACCUAUUUCUAACACAUCUACCAUCACAAGUCCAACUACCACAGAUACUACAACCUCUACUGUCACAAACACAUCGACUACCACAGAUACUACAACCUCUACUAUCACAAACACAUCUGCUGCCACAGAUACUACAACCUCUACUGUCACAAACACAUCGACUACCACAGAUACUACAGCCUCUACUGUCACAAACACAUCGACUACCACAGAUACUACAGCCUCUACUGUCACAAACACAUCGACUACCACAGAUACUACAACCCUACUGUCACAAACACAUCGACUACCACAGAUACUACAACCUCUACGGUCACAAAUACAUCGACUACCACAGAUACUACAGCCUCUACUGUCACAAACACAUCGACUACCACAGAUACUACAGCCUCUACUGUCACAAACACAUCGACUACCACAGAUACUACAGCCUCUACUGUCACAAACACAUCGACUACCACAGAUACUACAACCUCUACUGUCACAAACACAUCGACUACCACAGAUACUACAACCUCUUCGGUCACAAAUACAUCGACUACCACAGAUACUACAGCCUCUACUGUCACAAACACAUCGACUACCACAGAUACUACAGCCUCUACUGCCACAAACACACCUGCUACCACAGAUACUACAGCCUCUACUGCCACAAACACACCUGCUACCACAGAUACUACAGCCUCUACUGCCACAAACACAUCUGCUACCACAGAGAGUACAACUCCUAACACUGCUACGAGUACACCUACUCCCGCAGGUGGUAUAG